CUGUGUUUCUCUCAAUUUUUUUUUCCUUCUGAAGGUACUGGUGGCAAUCUUUGUUGGAAGUGCAGUAAGUCUUUCCCAGAUGACCACUACUGCCAACAUCUGACCAAAUAUCUGGUUUUGACAUCAUUGAAAAAUGCCAGGGUGAAAAGAAUCAAGCCAUGGAGAAAAAGAAAACUCUUUCUAGAGCACUUGUGAUUAAAUCUGGAAAUAGAGGCACAUCUUCAGAUUGAAGCUUCAGCUCAUUUAGGCCAAGGCACUCAAAAUGUGACAGCUUUAUAGAUGAAUAAAAGUGACUUGCUACUCUGGAUCAAGAGCAAAGAAUGAGUCAGAGUUCUAUUCCUUACCAAAAAAGGCCUUAUAAAAGUUUCACCAGAAAACUGUGGAAGUGAUGGGGCUCAACACCUGCUGUCAUGUUGUAUUUCUGUAUAAAUUCCCUUAGGAAUGUACUUGUGCCACCUGCUUCAGCAGGGAGUGCAGCUUCUUUAAAAGUUUGGUCUUGGGGAAAUAGGGAAUUCAGAAUUCCUUGUCGUGCUGAGCUCCACCAAUUCCCCUUGCCCUCACUGAGGGCUGAAACUAAAGAGUUUUUCAGUGCACAGCCGGUGAAAUUAAAGCCCAUUAAAUUCUGCUCUCCUUCACUUAAGUGAGCCACUGCAAAACAAACAGCUUAGUCUCGGGAGAUUGCAGACACAUCCAAAGUGUUCGUUUUUAUUCAAAUGGCAACUGAUGGAGCCCAGUGGUGGAAAAGUUAAACAG
Molecule: long non-coding RNA, 753 nt
Organism: Pezoporus flaviventris
Lineage: Eukaryota; Metazoa; Chordata; Aves; Psittaciformes; Psittacidae
Exons: 3
Source: RefSeq, a predicted model, not a curated record